RNAcentral lists this ribosomal RNA (489 nucleotides) under uncultured bacterium. RNAcentral describes it as "bacterial SSU rRNA". It matches the Rfam family "Bacterial small subunit ribosomal RNA", at positions 173 to 679 of the family's 1533-position model. The record is from RNAcentral.
GACACAUGGUCGCAUGGUUGUGUGUGGAAAGUUUUUUCGGCCAGGGAUGUGCUCGCGGCCUAUCAGCUUGAUGGUGAGGUAAUGGCUCACCAUGGCUUCGACGGGUAGCCGGCCUGAGAGGGUGACCGGUCACACUGGGACUGAGACACGGCCCAGACUCCUACGGGAGGCAGCAGUGGGGAAUAUUGGACAAUGGGCGGAAGCCUGAUCCAGCAACGCCGCGUGGGGGAUGACGGCCUUCGGGUUGUAAACCUCUUUCGCCUAGGACGAAGCGCAAGUGACGGUACUAGGUAAAGAAGCACCGGCCAACUACGUGCCAGCAGCCGCGGUAAUACGUAGGGUGCGAGCGUUGUCCGGAAUUAUUGGGCGUAAAGGGCUCGUAAGCGGUUUGUCGCGUCGGGAGUGAAAACCACAUGCUUAACAUGUGGCUUGCUUUCGAUACGGGCAGACUAGAGGUAUGCAGGGGAGAAACGGAAUUCCUGGUGUAGC